This 69-nucleotide transfer RNA is filed under the name Marmota monax (woodchuck). It matches the Rfam family "tRNA". From Rfam's summary of the family: Transfer RNA (tRNA) molecules are approximately 80 nucleotides in length. Their secondary structure includes four short double-helical elements and three loops (D, anti-codon, and T loops). The record is from Rfam by way of RNAcentral. Lineage: Eukaryota; Metazoa; Chordata; Mammalia; Rodentia; Sciuridae.
GGAGUUGUGGCUCAGUUGUAGAGCACUCGCCUAAUGUGUGUGAGACCCUGGGUUCAAUCCUCAGCACCA